GGGGAUGUAGCUCACAUGGUAGAGCUCUCGCUUUGCAUGAAAGAGGUACGAGGUUCGAUACCCCUCAUCUCCA
This is a non-coding RNA of Picea glauca (white spruce), 73 nucleotides long. The record is from Rfam. NCBI's taxonomy places the organism in Eukaryota, Viridiplantae, Streptophyta, Pinopsida, Pinales, Pinaceae.